This 1341-nucleotide long non-coding RNA is filed under the name Homo sapiens (human). RNAcentral describes it as "long independently transcribed non-coding RNA 1811, transcript variant 4 (LINC01811)". Lineage: Eukaryota; Metazoa; Chordata; Mammalia; Primates; Hominidae. The record is from RNAcentral.
AGAGAUGUUGAGAGAUCAACCAGGAGACUGUGGGAGGAUGUGAGCUCUCUGAGAAGGAGAAGAAGUAUUUACAUUAGAAGUCUGAUUCACAGGUCGGGGCAAAGUGAAAAACAUCUGCACUUUUAAAAGGUGAGGACAGUCUGUUCUGAAGGUCUACACAUUAAUGCUUCCUAUUGGGAAUUCAAAUCGGCAAUUUGUUCUUCUUCUGGUUGUUUGAAUCUUCAAAAUAGAGGGAAGACACCUGGAUGAAACAUUUUCACAGACUCUGCAAUUCCCUUAAGAGGAUCCCAGAGCCCUUAAGCUUCUCUUAGAUUCCUCUGAUUUUUUUCAGCCCAAGGACUGUUACCACAUGUCUUCCAUCUUGCCCACAAUUUUAGCAGAUCAUCAGGAUACUUGCCAACAAGGUCACAGUGGACUCCAUGGAGCAACUGCCCUCAGGAGGCAACAGGUCACAGUGUUUGGACACCGCAUGAACAUGCCAAUUUCCUGUGUUGUAAUAUUUUUAUGCACUUUAAGAAGACCACCAGAAACAGCAGACUGAGGCGCAUAUUGGACAAAAAUCACUUAUCCAAGACCACGUUACUACAACCCCAGGGCACAGAAGCUAAGUCUUCCUAUUGUACUGAACUCAGUUGACUGGAAUUUGUUCAGGAAAGCAUGAAGUCAAAUGGAAGCUAGUCCGUGACUGGAUUCAUCUUUUGGUAAAAAACGAAGAGGAGACCCCAUAUCCUGGAGGUUCUUGCUUAACCCUGUCCCUAAUAAGACCUAACUUUAUGAGUCUUCUCCUUAGAGGCAGUCCUAGGGUAAGAGUGAUUAUUCCUGUGAGCCUUGUAGGUACUUUCGAAUCAAGGAAAUUAGUAGUUGAUUGCUAAUUAAUUCAGUAUUUAAUGAAUUUAAGUACCUAGGCAAUGAGGCCACAAUAGCAAAUAAGACACAGACCUGUUUUCAAAAAGUAGCCUGUAAAUAAGAUAUUUUUUUCUGCCAUGGUGGCAAAGGCAUGACUAUGGUGAUGAACAUUCAUAGGCUCACCUUCUAGCUCUGUUGUAUGUUAACUGUGUGAACUUGGGUCAAGUUAUGAAAACUCUAAGAACUCUCAAAACUCCUGAUCUGUUUUAACAUGAAAGUAAAGAUAUCUAAUUGAAUUGUUGUGAAACUUAAAUGUAAUGUGACAUCCAAAGAAUGUAGCCCAAAGUUGGAUUUCAGUAAGUGAUAAAUAGAAGUAUUUAAACAUGGGUAUGGUAUGUUCUGUAACAGAAGAAUGUCUAUGUGCUGGGGAUACCUAGAGACAGUGAAAAUUCUGUCUGGCCUGCGAAUUAUAAUAAAAUGACUCUUUAAAGUCAA